Molecule: long non-coding RNA, 1326 nt
Filed under: Pogona vitticeps (central bearded dragon)
Lineage: Eukaryota; Metazoa; Chordata; Lepidosauria; Squamata; Agamidae
Description: lncRNA (ENSPVIG00000024110.1)
Source: RNAcentral
UCAGUGUCACUAAAGUCAAAAUCAAAGGCUUGCUAAUAAUCUACCUGCAAUCCCUGUAAGUGAGCACUUAUACAGCUAAUACGGAAUGUUCAUUUAGAUUGGAAGGAUUAGUCAAACACCAUCUGUUCAAUCAAUUGGCUGCUCUGUGAUUGAUACCACUGGUCUACAUUGAACUGUGUCAUGGUAUGUCUAAUCCUGUCCAUGGAGGACAGAUUGUAAAACCCAGUUAAUUGUAUGAUGCUUUUUGGCAGCCUGCUAUAUGGAGUUGAGGUACAGUAUCUUCUGGCUCUUCAGAGAUUCUGCAAUCAGAAAAAAGUCUUUUUUUCCUUUUUGAUCAAGGAAUACAGGGGAGAGUUAAUCCUUUAACCAGAGCAAAGAAUUAAUACUUUGUGGAUUAAAAAAAGGAACUGCUACACAGAGAACAGACCAUCCUGUUUGCCUUCCCGGCUAUCAAGAGUGAAGGCGAGAUCUAACCAUCUUGUAGAGAUGCUAUGCAGAUACUUGCCUCAGUUUUACAAGGAGAAAUUAAUCUUACUUUUCUUCCAUGUCCUUCAGCAUCUGGGAUUGAGGAGUCUUUUUUAAAAAUCACUAUCAUUUUUCAAAGAAAACUGAGUGUGGGACUGGAAUCAGGAACAUGCCCUUCUAUGACCUAUCAGGGUGGAGACGAUAUUUACUUUCCUUUAGGACGCAAAGCACGAAUACAGAAAAUGAAAAUGAAGGCACUUCUAAGAACAUUCUGCUGCUUAUCAAGAUUCUCCAUUUCCUCUCCAACCUUCUUCCCAGCUUCCCUUUCAUCUCUAGGUCAUUCUUGCAGCCUGUACCUCACCACCCACUCCUCCCAACUCUACCAGCUGCCCCUUUCUCUAAAUUCUUACCCUUCCAAACAGGGACUCAGCUCUGGAGGGAAGCGGCAGCAUUGGCUCCGCUUGACACCUUACUAGGAGGCCUCUUGGCAGAGCUGGCCUUACGCAACUGCAUCUCCUCGGAGCCCCUAAGAUGCUCUAAAUGUAAAGAAGCAACAUUCAUGAAACAGGGGACUUCCCCAAAGCAACCCAAUGAUGUGAGUACCAUUUCUACAGGAAGAGAGAGUAAUGCCUCUGGGGAAAGUAGGAGCAGCUCAUCUCCAUCUGAUUCUCCUCUUAACAAGGAGAUUGAGUGUCUCCACUUCUUUCUAAAAAGGAAAAUCACUAGGACACAAGCCUGGCUGAUUGAUUUAUUAUUGUCAUUGUUUAUUAGCAGCGUGUGUACUGAAGUUGUUGGGAAAGCUAACAAUGAUGGUAAAACAUAGCUAUAAACACAAACAUAUAAAGCAGAGAGUAAAAUGAA